RNAcentral lists this ribosomal RNA (331 nucleotides) under uncultured eukaryote. RNAcentral describes it as "partial 18S ribosomal RNA". It matches the Rfam family "Eukaryotic small subunit ribosomal RNA", at positions 1470 to 1796 of the family's 1831-position model. The record is from RNAcentral.
CCCUUAGAUGUCCGGGGCUGCACGCGCGCUACACUGACGGAAUCAGCGUGCUAGAAAACCUUGUUUGACAUGGCUAGGUAACCCGUUGAAAAUCUUUCGUGAUUGGGAUCGGGACUUGCAAAUGUGUCCCUUGAACGAGGAAUUCCCAGUAAGUGCGGGUCAUAAGCUCGCGCUGAUUACGUCCCUGCCCUUUGUACACACCGCCCGUCGCUGCCCGGAACUGAGCCGUUUCGAGAAGACUGGGGACUGCGAACUUUGGGCUGGAAAACAGCUUUUUGUUUGUGGAAACCACUUUAAUCGCAGCGGCUUGAACCGGGCAAAAGUCGUAACA